This 200-nucleotide ribosomal RNA is filed under the name uncultured bacterium. Its description in RNAcentral is "partial 16S ribosomal RNA". It matches the Rfam family "Bacterial small subunit ribosomal RNA", at positions 28 to 231 of the family's 1533-position model. The record is from RNAcentral.
GAUGAACGCUAGCGGCAGGCUUAACACAUGCAAGUCGAGGGGUAGAAGUCUUCGGACUUUGAGACCGGCGCACGGGUGCGUAACGCGUAUGCAAUCUACCUUCUACAGAGGGAUAGCCCAGAGAAAUUUGGAUUAAUACCUCAUAGUAUAAUGACCUGGCAUCAGGAUGUUAUUAAAGUCACAACGGUAAAAGAUGAGCA